CUACGGGUCGCAGCAGUGAGGAAUAUUGCACAAUGGGGGGAACCCUGAUGCAGCAACGCCGCGUGGAGGAUGACGCAUUUCAGUGUGUAAACUCCUUUUAUAUGUCAAGAAAAUGACGGUAGCAUAUGAAUAAGCACCGGCUAACUCCGUGCCAGCAGCCGCGGUAAUACGGAUGGUGCAAGCGUUACUCGGAAUCACUGGGCGUAAAGGACGCGUAGGCGGGUUGGAAAGUCAGGUGUGAAAUCCUACAGCUUAACUGUAGAACUGUACUUGAAACUUCUAAUCUAGAGUAUGGGAGGAGGAGAUGGAAUUAGUGGUGUAGGGGUAAAAUCCGUAGAUAUCACUAGGAAUACCUAAAGCGAAGGCGAUCUCCUGGAACAUUACUGACGCUAAGGCGUGAAAGCGUGGGGAGCAAACAGGAUUAGAUACCCCCGUAGUC
RNAcentral lists this ribosomal RNA (439 nucleotides) under uncultured bacterium. RNAcentral describes it as "partial 16S ribosomal RNA". It matches the Rfam family "Bacterial small subunit ribosomal RNA", at positions 339 to 795 of the family's 1533-position model. The record is from RNAcentral.